UAUUUUCUUUGCACUGACUUUAGGGAGCCAGCCGCUUCCCGUGUUAGCACUCGGGUGCCAGGUGGCCAAAAACACGGGGCAAAGGUUUUCCUAGUUAAGUCGUGGUAUCCACAGCUGUAGCUCUGAGGAAGGAACAGGGCCAUUUGCGGCACUUCGUGCUGUGUGAAGGCAAGAUUUGCCCUCCAACUCUCGAACUCCCUUCUAUCCUGGGGGUGAGGGCGGGGAGCCUGCUCUUUCUCUCUCCCAAGCUUUAGUAGGAGAGGGAGAAGAGUGUGGGGCCCAGGCCUGGCCCAAGACCCGCUGAGGCAGGGCUGGUGAGGGUCUUGGUAACAGUCGCCGCAGGGUAAUUCGCAGCCUGUACUACAAGGACCCUGAGCAUUCCCCGGGCGGUACCUGAGCAGAUUAGGCCGAACAAACAACUUUCAUAUAGCCUCUGUCACAUUGGGCUAUAUUCCAAGGAUGAAGCCUGUGGUGUUCAAAUGUGGAAAUGGAGCUACAGAGAGCUAACUUUUUAAAUCCCUUGGUGCCCUAUCAUUGAUCCCUACACUGGAGAUUAACAUGGCAGGUCCCUGACUUUAGUCAUUUCCAUUUCACCCCUGUUGAGAUUCUGUCUCAUGAGUAACCUGACAGCCAGCUAGGCCCAACACAGUUUCAUGGGCUCACCACAUGUGAUCUUUUUGUCAUCAAGGGCCAGGUCAUCUCAGCUAUGAGCAAAGGGAGAAGUGUGGGCAUGGAGCUAGGAAGAUGGAGCAGACCCAUCAAGGUGAAAUGAGCAAGUCUGUGUUGUUGGAGAGUGAAAAAGCUGGCCAAAUCAUCUGCACAAUGUCCCUUGCCCAGCAGUUCUGUGUGAAAACCAAAAUCAUGCUUGGAAUUUCCAGAUUUCUCCAGUGCUUGCGGUAUUGAGUCAUUUCUCAAUAAAUGUCAAUAAAUUGUCAAUAAAUGUCAAUAAAUGGCU
RNAcentral lists this long non-coding RNA (955 nucleotides) under Heterocephalus glaber (naked mole-rat). Its description in RNAcentral is "lncRNA (ENSHGLG00100038842.1)". The record is from RNAcentral. Lineage: Eukaryota; Metazoa; Chordata; Mammalia; Rodentia; Bathyergidae.